GAUGAACGCUGGCGGCGUGCCUUAAGCAUGCAAGUGGAACGCUUCUUGUUGGGUCGCAAGACUUGACGAGAGGAGUCGCGGACGGGUGAGUAAUGUAUAGGAAUCUACCCUUUGGCGGGGAAUAACUAACCGAAAGGCUGGCUAAUACCCCAUAAGAUCGUAAGAUGAAAGGCCUUAACGGGCCACCGAUGGAGGAGCCUAUGUCCUAUCAGCUAGUUGGUGGGGUAAGGGCCUACCAAGGCAAUGACGGGUAGCUGGAUUGAGAGAACGGUCAGCCACAAGGGGACUGAAGCACGGCCCAGACUCCUACGGGAGGCAGCAGUGGGGAAUUUUGGAGAAUGGGCGCAAGCCUGAUCCAGCAAUGCCGCGUGCAGGAAGAAGGCCUUCGGGUUGUAAACUGCUUUUGUCAGGGAAGAAAUCUUCUGGGUUAAUACCUCGGGAGGAUGACGGUACCUGAAGAAUAAGCACCGGCUAACUACGUGCCAGCAGCCGCCGUAA
This 498-nucleotide ribosomal RNA is filed under the name uncultured bacterium. Its description in RNAcentral is "partial 16S ribosomal RNA". It matches the Rfam family "Bacterial small subunit ribosomal RNA", at positions 28 to 523 of the family's 1533-position model. The record is from RNAcentral.